ACUCCAGUAACUCAGUUGGUUAGAGUGCUCGGCUUAUACCCAAGUGGUCGGGGGUUCAAGUCCCUCCUGGAGUA
Molecule: transfer RNA, 74 nt
Filed under: Solobacterium sp.
Lineage: Bacteria; Bacillati; Bacillota; Erysipelotrichia; Erysipelotrichales; Erysipelotrichaceae
Also listed under: 1 other name
Description: tRNA-Ile
Rfam family: tRNA
About the family: Transfer RNA (tRNA) molecules are approximately 80 nucleotides in length. Their secondary structure includes four short double-helical elements and three loops (D, anti-codon, and T loops). Further hydrogen bonds mediate the characteristic L-shaped molecular structure. tRNAs have two regions of fundamental functional importance: the anti-codon, which is responsible for specific mRNA codon recognition, and the 3' end, to which the tRNAs corresponding amino acid is attached (by aminoacyl-tRNA synthetases). tRNAs cope with the degeneracy of the genetic code in two manners: having more than one tRNA (with a specific anti-codon) for a particular amino acid; and 'wobble' base-pairing, i.e. permitting non-standard base-pairing at the 3rd anti-codon position.
Source: RNAcentral